This 252-nucleotide ribosomal RNA is filed under the name uncultured Enterobacteriaceae bacterium. Its description in RNAcentral is "partial 16S ribosomal RNA". It matches the Rfam family "Bacterial small subunit ribosomal RNA", at positions 1130 to 1382 of the family's 1533-position model. The record is from RNAcentral. Lineage: Bacteria; Pseudomonadati; Pseudomonadota; Gammaproteobacteria; Enterobacterales; Enterobacteriaceae.
GUCGGGAACUCAAGGAGACUGCCGGUGAUAAACCGGAGGAAGGUGGGGAUGACGUCAAGUCAUCAUGGCCCUUACGAGUAGGGCUACACACGUGCUACAAUGGCAUAUACAAAGAGAAGCGAACUCGCGAGAGCAAGCGGACCUCAUAAAGUAUGUCGUAGUCCGGAUUGGAGUCUGCAACUCGACUCCAUGAAGUCGGAAUCGCUAGUAAUCGUAGAUCAGAAUGCUACGGUGAAUACGUUCCCGGGCCUU